UUUUCCAUUCCUAUUUUAAUCAUGAACCAAACAUGCCCUCAGUGAAACUAACGAUACAAUGAAUUGACUAUCACUCCAUGCACCAGUAUCCUACCCUGUGGCGAGAGGUCGGAUUGGGACGAAUCAUGUUCGAAAUGGUGGGAGGUCGAGUUGAACCGAGUUAUGUUCGAAGCAGCAAGGGGCCGGUUGGGCUGAGUCACAAUCGAGACCUGUGAACGUUGUAUCUGUACACUUUAUGAACUGGUUGUAUCUUUCUAAUAUCUUUCCAAGAUGUAAUAACGCAAAUAACAGUAAUAAUAUAUUAAUAAUAAUAGUACUAACUUUAAGGCAAAUUUGUUCGAUUAGGGCUAAUAAUAAAAGGCUUCAAUAGUUUUAAAGAAUUAACCCUAUUCCUGAGAGAAACAAUUAAUGGACUAAAUUAAAAUAUAAGAUUAGAGAGAGUAACAUGAGAUUUAGGGCUCUAAUGCAUCUCAUGCAAAAAGAGAGUGAUAAAAAAAAUCCCAAUAAUGAUCCAACUUUGAAUAAAGAGAGAGAGAGAGAGAGAUUUGAAUGGGGGCUUAUCCACUGAAAAAAAACCCUAAUAUACUGUAGACUUAUCCACUAACCCUAUACUACUACACCCCAUUUUAUAUCCCCAAAAAGAGAAAACAAGAAAAAAAGGGUAGUUAUAGAAUGUAACCAGUACAACUUAUCUUUUAUAACUUUCUCUACUUCUAUAUUCUAAUGUCAAUGUGGUAAAAUUAAUUUUCUCAUAGUAGUUCUUAUAUAAUACAAGAAAAAAACAAAACAAAACUUGUAAAAGCAAAAUUUAAGAGGUUCUUUAAUUAAAUUGUUAUUAACAUCCUCCAAAGAAGAUGUAGUAACAUCUCAAUAAUGAAUGUGUACUUCUUAUAUAUAUGUAGGGAAAGGAAAAAGUUAAAUCCUCAAAACAAACUUUUCAAUGAAGAUGAGGUUAAAUAGAGGGGGAAAAAAAAAAUAGCAACACAGGGGAAACAACAGCAUAUGCAUGCACUAUAUGCAUUUUGUAGUACCAUGCAUAUGGAAGUAUCUUGGCUAAAUAUACAAAAGAAUGGCACUUUAUGAACACUAAUAAUAAAAAAAGGAGGACACUACUUACCAAAAGGACAUGGUAUUAUAAAGUAACCUAAAGUGCAUUCAAAAAAUGAAACUACUAACCCUUAAUAUAUCUAUACUACAUAUACAAUGGUGACAAAAGCAAGGGCACCAAGAAGAAGAAUAAUAAGAUGAUGAGCAUAUCUUAUGAACAUGUUUGUUGAUGGUCAUCUAACCAAUAACCUAUGCAUCUCCUCAACCUGCAAAAAUAAAGAAAUUAAUAUACUCAAGCAAGGGGAUAUACAUGCAUGGUUAGAUGACUAUCAACAAAACACAUGCAAAAGCUGCUUUGUUCUUCUUUUU
RNAcentral lists this long non-coding RNA (1416 nucleotides) under Ananas comosus (pineapple). Its description in RNAcentral is "long non-coding RNA (ACOM_LNC030903)". The record is from RNAcentral. Lineage: Eukaryota; Viridiplantae; Streptophyta; Magnoliopsida; Poales; Bromeliaceae.